Molecule: long non-coding RNA, 212 nt
Filed under: Gossypium barbadense (sea-island cotton)
Lineage: Eukaryota; Viridiplantae; Streptophyta; Magnoliopsida; Malvales; Malvaceae
Description: long non-coding RNA (GBAR_LNC015405)
Source: RNAcentral
CCGAUGAGACACUGGGUGUCAACUAUUGCUUUGAACUAUCCGAUGAGGCACUGGGUGCCAUUCUGGUGUGUUUGGUUGGAUCCGUGUAUCCGCCAAAGUCCGAGUUUUGUUAAUAGGGUAAAUGAUGAAAUGAUAAACCGAACGAGUUGGUCAAACGAGCUACUGAAAUGAAAUGAAAAAGUUGAAUUGUGAAUUGAAAUGUGAUAUGAGAU